RNA transcript from Zophobas morio, 1886 nucleotides. RefSeq lists it as uncharacterized. The record is from RefSeq and is a predicted model, not a curated record. The transcript has 3 exons. Lineage: Eukaryota; Metazoa; Arthropoda; Insecta; Coleoptera; Tenebrionidae.
UCAGUUUUUAUCAGUUCCAAACAACUAAUAAUAAUUAACCAGGCCAGACGUUGCUAUAAAAAGAAUCAUCCUGGUGUAACAUAGACAUUGCCAAAAUGGCCAAGCAAUCUUUGAUUAUAUUUUGUAUACUCUUUCUUGUUAUAAACGCCAGCGAUCCUGAACCACGUGAUCUAGUAGAGGAAGCUUACCAACAACUAUUUGAACUACAGAACAUCGCUUAUGGUGAAAUCUUUGUAGGGCGAGACAGACUACAACACCUCCAACGAGAAUUUGGUGACGAUGCUCAAAAAGUAGCUCAAAAAGCAAACCUAGACAUAGAGCAAGAGCACGAAACCAUUAAUAUCCAGUUAACCACGAUCAAAGAUUUGGCACUUUCGGCCGGGAAAGACAUUUCUUCCUGUACUAACAAUCGUGAGGAUCUUCUUAACAGUCUACCUGCUAACUAUAAUGAACAAAUAAGUUCAUGUAUGGCCGGAGUUGCUCAACUUGCAGCUACAGCUGUAACUGAUUCGCGUUAUUUUAUUGAUAUUCUUAUAAAUAAAGUACAUCAAUUUGGAUACCAACUUGAUCUAUGUUACGAAAAUUUUGAGUGCAUUUCGCCUCUUCUGACACAGAUUUUACUAGAAAGAGUAAGAAUUCCACAAGUCGUGAGAGAAGAGGUGCAGAAUUGCGAGACUAUUAUAAGUGAAUUGGAGUUGUCUGUACAGAAUUGUGCAGAUGAAAGUGUUGCUGAGUAUACGGUUGAGGCCAGUGGUAUUCUUGCAGAGAUAACGGAUUGUGUCGACGAAAUUAUUGGUUAAAAUUGCUGACAAAAAAUAAUUUGUGUUGUAGUUACUUAGAUAACUAAAUUUGCAAUUGUAUAGCUUAACCUUUGGCGUUAUCUAAAACCAUACAUAAUGUAACAGGAAAUUACCUGAUAAUUAAUAAACCUAUACUGAAUUACUUCAAUAACUUCCAGUAAGCUUAUUAUUAUCAAAAGAUUUACGAUGAGCUACUUAACAUAGAUAUGGCCUUGCACUUAGUUCCAGUUAAUUCCAAACAUAUAUAAGUAAUCCAAAUCUUAAAACUAGCAAUUGAAUUGUGCGACCAUGGCCUCAAAAGCUACUUUUUUGUUGUUCGUCUUCCUAGCUUUUGCAAGUGCUAAAAUCUGGACGCCUCGCGAUUUGGCCGACCAAGUAAGAGAAGAACUAGAAGCUCUAGAGGCCCUCGUUCAUGGUGAAAUCCUUGCUGCUCACAACGAUCUUAGCGACGCACUCAGCAACUUUCUAACAAAUUCUGGAAAUGUUGCUAAUGAAGCAACCAUCUCAAUACAACAAGAAAAACAAACUAUUGAUACUACAUUGCAAUCAAUCAAGGAUUUGGCACAUGUAGUAAAUGUAGAUAUUUCACCGUGUACGAACAUUCGUGAACAAUCUUUGAACAGACUACCUGAACGUUUGACUCGGGAAAUGAAUUCAUGUAUCACUGAUGUCAAUACACGAGCGUCUUCAACUGCCAGCGAUGGAAGAUACCUUGUGGAUGUCAUUAUCAACAAAGUACACAAUUUGGAAUUCCAACUUCGUCAAUGCGGAGACGAUUUGUUGUGCAUUGCUCCUUUGCUUACGGAAAUAGAGCUUGAUAAGGUUCGAUUGACAAAUUGUGUUAAAACGGAAGUUCAAGCUGUCGAAGGUCUUUUGACAACGUUGAGGCUUUCUGUACAAACUUGCUCGGACUCGAAAGUGGCUCAAUAUAUAACAGAAGCAUUUGGAAUUCUGGGGGAUAUUCAGGCCUGUGCAGAUAGGCUUAUUGGUUAAAAUAAAUUAUUGUAUUGUUAACACACUGUAUAGGUAUUUAUUUUUUGCCCUAAAAAUAAAGUUACGGGCAAUUAUAACCUACAUUUAUGUUGA